This 496-nucleotide ribosomal RNA is filed under the name uncultured bacterium. RNAcentral's name for it is "partial 16S ribosomal RNA". It matches the Rfam family "Bacterial small subunit ribosomal RNA", at positions 28 to 506 of the family's 1533-position model. The record is from RNAcentral.
GAUGAACGCUGGCGGCGUGCCUAAUACAUGCAAGUCGAGCGAACAGACGAGGAGCUUGCUCCUCUGACGUUAGCGGCGGACGGGUGAGUAACACGUGGAUAACCUACCUAUAAGACUGGGAUAACUUCGGGAAACCGGAGCUAAUACCGGAUAAUAUAUUGAACCGCAUGGUUCAAUAGUGAAAGACGGUUUUGCUGUCACUUAUAGAUGGAUCCGCGCCGCAUUAGCUAGUUGGUAAGGUAACGGCUUACCAAGGCAACGAUGCGUAGCCGACCUGAGAGGGUGAUCGGCAACAUUGGAACUGAGACACGGUCCAGACUCCUACGGAGGGCAGCAGUAGGAAAUCUUCCGCAAUGGGCGAAAGCCUGACGAAGCAACGCGGCGUGAGUGAGGAAGGCCUUCGGAUGGUAAAUCUCUGUUAUUGGGGAAGAACAAAUGUGUAAGUAACUAUGCACGUCUGGACGGUACCUAAUCAGAAAGCCACGGCAAACUACGU